GCCUCGUGGUUCCUAGAGUCAGCUCCAAAGUGCUGAUCCGUGGGUUUUUGUAAACAGGCACAUAUUGAUUCUGCGAUUUUAUGCAUGGAAGCCGCCGCUGUUGCAGCCUUCCAUAGCCCGGUUGCAGAUACAUGG
This is a small nucleolar RNA of Epinephelus moara (kelp grouper), 135 nucleotides long. RefSeq annotates it as small nucleolar RNA SNORA84. NCBI's taxonomy places the organism in Eukaryota, Metazoa, Chordata, Actinopteri, Perciformes, Serranidae. The transcript has a single exon. The record is from RefSeq and is a predicted model, not a curated record.